CCCUUAGAUGUUCUGGGCCGCACACGCGCUACACUGAAGGAGGCAGCGUGUACUCCUGGAGCGAAAGAUUUGGGUAACCCGCGAAUCUCCUUCGUGCUAGGGAUUGAGGUUUGCAAUUAUCCUUCAUGAACGAGGAAUUCCCAGUAAGUGCAAGUCAUAAGCUUGCGCUGACUACGUCCCUGCCCUUUGUACACACCGCCCGUCGCUACUACCGAUUGAAUGAUUUAGUGAGGACUUCGGACUGGGACCGAUGCGGCUUUCGGGCUGCGUCGGUAUUCUGGAAAGAUGUCCAAACUGUAUCAUUUAGAGGAAGUAAAANUCGUANCA
This 327-nucleotide ribosomal RNA is filed under the name uncultured eukaryote. RNAcentral's name for it is "partial 18S ribosomal RNA". It matches the Rfam family "Eukaryotic small subunit ribosomal RNA", at positions 1470 to 1796 of the family's 1831-position model. The record is from RNAcentral.